ACAACAGUUUGCAAUUAUACUACAUUUUGUGGCAAUACUGACAUUAUCCUGCUGAAAGAAGCUACGUUACUCAUUUUUGAUUUUGCCUAAAAUGCAGGUAAAAUCAUGACAGACAUGAACAAUU
This is a small nucleolar RNA of Lepus europaeus (European hare), 124 nucleotides long. RefSeq annotates it as small nucleolar RNA SNORA69. Lineage: Eukaryota; Metazoa; Chordata; Mammalia; Lagomorpha; Leporidae. The transcript has a single exon. The record is from RefSeq and is a predicted model, not a curated record.